Molecule: long non-coding RNA, 236 nt
Filed under: Capsicum annuum
Lineage: Eukaryota; Viridiplantae; Streptophyta; Magnoliopsida; Solanales; Solanaceae
Description: long non-coding RNA (CANN_LNC011590)
Source: RNAcentral
CAGGCUACCCCGACCUUCAACAAGGUUCAUGGUGUAAAACAACAACCCUUGCUAAACCUUAUGGUCCCUAAUCUUAGAAUUAACAUAUUUGGCUCCAACUAUUUAGGUUCCACACUUUGCUAUUCUUACGUACACAGUUUCGUUAUAAAUUUAGAAUCAUUGGAAUGACUCACUUAUGCAAAUUCCUCUUGUUUUCACAUUUAUAACACUUUGUGUUUCUCAGACUUGACAUGCCC